Molecule: ribosomal RNA, 561 nt
Filed under: uncultured bacterium
Lineage: Bacteria
Description: bacterial SSU rRNA
Rfam family: Bacterial small subunit ribosomal RNA
Source: RNAcentral
UUUGCGCAUGGGCGAANGCCUGNCGCAGCGACGCCGCGUGCGGGAAGAAGGCCUUCGGGUUGUAAACCGCUUUCAGGAGGGACGAAGCCACUCGGGUUAAUAGCCUAGAGGGUGACGGUACCUCCAGAAGAAGCCCCGGCUAACUACGUGCCAGCAGCCGCGGUAAUACGUAGGGGGCUAGCGUUGUCCGGAUUUAUUGGGCGUAAAGAGCGUGUAGGCGGCCAGGUAGGUCCGGUGUGAAAACUCGAGGCUUAACCUCGAGAUGUCAUCGGAAACCAUCUGGCUAGAGUCCGGAAGAGGAGAGUGGAAUUCCUGGUGUAGCGGUGAAAUGCGCAGAUAUCAGGAAGAACACCAAUGGCGAAGGCAGCUCUCUGGGACGGUACUGACGCUGAGACGCGAAAGCGUGGGGAGCGAACAGGAUUAGAUACCCUGGUAGUCCACGCCGUAAACGAUGGGCGCUAGGUGUGGGCGGUGUCGACUCCGUCCGUGCCGAAGCUAACGCAUUAAGCGCCCCGCCUGGGGAGUACGGCCGCAGGGCUAAAACUCAAAAGAAUUGACGGA